AACGAACGCUGGCGGCAUGCCUAACACAUGCAAGUCGAACGAGACCUUCGGGUCUAGUGGCGCACGGUUGCGUAACGCGUGGGAACCUGCCCUUAGGGUCGGAAUAACUCCCCGAAAGGGGUGCUAAUACCGGACAAUGUCUUCGGACCAAGGAUUUAUCGCCUUUGGAUGGGCCCGCGUUGGAUUAGCUCGUUGGUAGGGUAAAAGCCUACCAAGGCGUCGAUCCAUAGCUGGUCUGAGAGGCUGAUCAGCCACACUGGGACUGAGACGCGGCCCAGACUCCUACGGGAGGCAGCAGUGGGGGAUAUUGGACAAUGGGCGAAAGCCUGAUCCAGCAAUGCCGCGUGAGUGAUGAAGGCCUUAGGGUUGUAAAGCUCUUUUACCCGGGAUGAUAAUGACAGUACCGGGAGAAUAAGCUCCGGCUAACUCCGUG
RNAcentral lists this ribosomal RNA (433 nucleotides) under uncultured bacterium. Its description in RNAcentral is "partial 16S ribosomal RNA". It matches the Rfam family "Bacterial small subunit ribosomal RNA", at positions 29 to 507 of the family's 1533-position model. The record is from RNAcentral.